CGGACGGUGAGUAACGCGUGGAAAACCUGCCGUAUACUGGGGGAUAACACUUAGAAAUAGGUGCUAAUACCGCAUAAGCGCACAGCUUCGCAUGAAGUGGUGUGAAAAACUCUGGUGGUAUACGAUGGUUCCGCGUCUGAUUAGCUUGUUGGUGGGGUAAUGGCUCACCAAGGCGACGAUCAGUAGCCGGCCUGAGAGGGUGAACGGCCACAUUGGGACUGAGACACGGCCCAAACUCCUACGGAAGGCAGCAG
Molecule: ribosomal RNA, 254 nt
Filed under: uncultured bacterium
Lineage: Bacteria
Description: partial 16S ribosomal RNA
Rfam family: Bacterial small subunit ribosomal RNA
Source: RNAcentral